This is a long non-coding RNA of Poecilia latipinna (sailfin molly), 877 nucleotides long. RefSeq lists it as uncharacterized. The record is from RefSeq and is a predicted model, not a curated record. NCBI's taxonomy places the organism in Eukaryota, Metazoa, Chordata, Actinopteri, Cyprinodontiformes, Poeciliidae. The transcript has 2 exons.
CAGCUAGCCAUAUUAGCAUCCCACUUGAGGGAACGCUGAGUUGGAAUAGAAAUGGGCCGGUUCAGUGAGCAGAAGGGAGAAGAGGUCCCAUUCGUCUUGUCCUGUUUAAAUACACUGGUUAACUCCUGCCAACAGGGAAGCCAUUCAGCAAAAGGCCAAGGGCAUCUGUCAUGUGUUCAGCACACGGACGCCGUCCCCCUUCCUUCUUCCUCUUUUCCCCCGCUCUUCUGCCACCACUUCCCCACUCUGUUCAUCUCAGUGCCGUCCCUCCUGCCUUUCCCCGCAGUUCGCCUCGCUCGCAGUGCCUCUCCUCCUCCUGAUGAAAGGAGUGAAUAUGCAGGGAGCUGACAUGAUUAGCAGCCUCAUAUCCCCAUGAUGGAUGGCGCCUGCUCCAUUAUUAAUAUAGUAAAAGCACCAACUGCCAGAUUUCCCCUGUGCUGAAGGAGACGUUCUCCUGGAGAUCUCAAGCUACCAGUCCACCGGUUCUUCAGGUCGCUCUCCACGCCGUAGAGGGCUCCAUUGGUGCCAGGGCACCGUUUUCCAAAGUCAUCAGAUCCGAUUCUUCCAAGUCCUCCAGCCGGCACCUGCACCUGUCCCAGCCCCUCCGAAAACCCGACCUACCUGUCCGCCCUCCUCCGCCACCAACUCAGUCCGCUGAUCCUGGUGCCUCUUAUUCCCCCCUUCAAGAUCUGAAUCCACUCCAAGUAAGAUCAAACAUCUCCAUUAAAUACUUCAAAUUCCCACUGAACUUGAACUCACCAUUGUUUUGUUUGUCCGCACACCAGGAUCCCUGAGACCCAGCCAGGCAGUUCUCCGCUCCUGAACCUAUUUUCAAUGUCUGUUCUUUUUUUUUUUUCAAUAAAUCUAAGAAACCCUU